GACGAACGCUGGCGGCGUGCUUAGCACAUGCAAGUCGAACGGUGAAGGGGUCUGCUUUUGUGGGCCCUGGUUGCGUGGCGCACGGGUGAGUAACACGCGAGUAACCUGCCCCCUUCUUCUGGAUAACCGCAUGAAAGUGUGGCUAAUACGGGAUAUUCUGGGUCUGUCGCAUGUUGGGUCUGGGAAAGAUGGCGCCUUUGGGUGUUUUUGGUGGGGGAUGGGCUCGCGGCCUAUCAGCUUGUUGGUGGGGUGAUGGCCUACCAAGGCGGGGACGGGUAGCGGGUCUGAGAGGGUGGACGGUCACACUGGGACUGAGACACGGCCCAGACUCCUACGGGAGGCAGCAGUGAGGAAUAUUGCUCAAUGGGCGCAAGCCUGAUGCAGCGACGCCGCGUGAAGGAUGGAGGCCUUCGGGGUGUUAACCUCUUUCGACAGGGAAGCAGGCCUGCUCCUUGUGGGUGGGUUGAAGGUAGCUGGAUAAGAAGCGCCGGCUAACUCCGUG
RNAcentral lists this ribosomal RNA (502 nucleotides) under uncultured bacterium. RNAcentral's name for it is "partial 16S ribosomal RNA". It matches the Rfam family "Bacterial small subunit ribosomal RNA", at positions 28 to 507 of the family's 1533-position model. The record is from RNAcentral.